RNAcentral lists this ribosomal RNA (492 nucleotides) under uncultured bacterium. RNAcentral's name for it is "partial 16S ribosomal RNA". It matches the Rfam family "Bacterial small subunit ribosomal RNA", at positions 34 to 511 of the family's 1533-position model. The record is from RNAcentral.
CGCUGGCGGUGCGCUUACACAUGCAAGUCGUGCGGUCUUUUUUUUGAAAGCUUCGGCCGGAUAAAAAAAGAUAGCGGCAAACGGGUGAGUAACACGUGGAUAAUCUGCCUUCAGGACAGGAAUAAGCUCGCGAAAGCGGGUCUAAUACCGGAUAUGACUGCGCGGGGCAGCCUGCGCAGUAAAAGGAGCAAUCCACCUGAAGAUGAGUCCGCGUCCCAUUAGCUUGUUGGUGGGGUAAAAGCCUACCAAGGCUACGAUGGGUAGCCGGCCUGAGAGGGUGAUCGGCCACACUGGGACUGAGACACGGCCCAGACUCCUACGGGAGGCAGCAGUGGGGAAUCUUGCGCAAUGGGGGAAACCCUGACGCAGCGACACCGCGUGGAGGACUAAGGCCUUCGGGUUGUAAACUCCUGUGUUGCGGGAAGAAACCGUUGUUUUUUAAUAACGGUUGACGGUACCGCAGUAGAAAUCCCCGGGNUAACUCCGUGGCAA